Molecule: ribosomal RNA, 229 nt
Filed under: uncultured bacterium
Lineage: Bacteria
Description: partial 16S ribosomal RNA
Rfam family: Bacterial small subunit ribosomal RNA
Source: RNAcentral
UGAGUAACACGUAUCCAACCUGCCGUCUACUCUUGGCCAGCCUUCUGAAAGGAAGAUUAAUCCAGGAUGGCAUCAUGAGUUCACAUGUCCGCAUGAUUAAAGGUAUUUUCCGGUAGACGAUGGGGAUGCGUUCCAUUAGAUAGUAGGCGGAGUAACGGCCCACCUAGUCAACGAUGGAUAGGGGUUCUGAGAGGAAGGUCCCCCACAUUGGAACUGAGACACGGUCCAA